GUCGUAACAAGGUUUCCGUAGGUGAACCUGCGGAAGGAUCAUUAUCGAAUCCGCGAGCGAGGGUUGCUGCUGGUCUCCCUCGGGGGGCAACGUGCACGCCCGAGCUCACGACAAACCCCCCAUGGGCCUUCGGGCCCGUGGACAUCACACCCCGUCUUAUACAGAAUGUCUUUUUAGUACAUCGCCCUGAAAAAGUGACGGAACCUUAUACAACUUUCAACAACGGAUCUCUUGGCUCUCGCAUCGAUGAAGAACGCAGCGAAAUGCGAUAAGUAAUGUGAAUUGCAGAUUUUCAGUGAAUCAUCGAAUCUUUGAACGCACCUUGCGCCCCUCGGUAUUCCGAGGGGCAUGCCUGUUUGAGUGUCAUUAAACCUUCAACCCCACCGGCCUUGUCGCGUGGGGCUUGGACUUGGGGCGUGCUGGCGAUUUACGUCGGCUCCCCUUUAAAUGCAUCAGUGAAGAGGGUGCUCGACCAUUUUCCUUUCUCCGGAAGGUGANGGCCCGUUCGGUGUGAUAAUCCUGUUGCGCCGUCGGACUGGGGUCGAGUUCCGCUUUGCUUCCAACGGUCCCUCGUGGNCGACGCCAUUCGAAUUUGACCUCAAAUCAGGUAGGACUACCCGCUGAACUUAAGCAUAUCAAUAAGCGGAGGAAAAGAAACUAACAAGGAUUCCCCUAGUAACUGCGAGUGAAGCGGGAAGAGCUCAAAUUUAAAAUCUGGCGGUCGCCCGGCCGUCCGAGUUGUAAUCUGGAGAAGCGUUUUCCGCGUCGGACCGUGUACAAGUCNUCUGGAAUGGAGCGUCGUAGAGGGUGAGAAUCCCGUCUCUGACACGGACCGCCGACGCUUAUGUGAUACGCUCUCGAAGAGUCGAGUUGUUUGGGAAUGCAGCUCAAAAUGGGUGGUAAAUUCCAUCUAAAGCUAAAUACUGGCGAGAGACCGAUAGCGAACAAGUACCGUGAGGGAAAGAUGAAAAGCACUUUGGAAAGAGAGUUAAACAGUACGUGAAAUUGUUGAAAGGGAAACGUUUGAAGUCAGUCGCGUUGGCCGGGACUCAACCUUGCCGUCAUCGGCUCGGCGCACUUCUCGGUCGACGGGUCAGCAUCAAUUUCGAUCGUCGGAUAAAGGCAAAGGGAAUGUGGCACCCUCCGGGGUGUGUUAUAGCCCUUGGUUCGCAUACGACGGUCGGGAUUGAGGAACUCGGCGCGCCCUCACGGGUCGGGGCUUCGGCCCACGUUAACGCGUCUAGGAUGCUGGCAUAAUGGCUUUAAGCGACC
This 1272-nucleotide ribosomal RNA is filed under the name uncultured fungus. Its description in RNAcentral is "eukaryotic LSU rRNA". The stretch from base 594 to 1272 matches the Rfam family "Eukaryotic large subunit ribosomal RNA", at positions 1 to 649 of the family's 3401-position model. The record is from RNAcentral. Lineage: Eukaryota; Fungi.